CUCUUAAGAACUCAUCAUUGCAUUGUGAUUGUUCUUAUUUUUUUUUUUAGGGCUGCAGAGAAAAUGAAACCCAAGGUUGGAAUCUCAGGUCCCUGAGAAAGAUGUUUCCAAAGACAAGCAUUGAAUUAUCUUAGGCAAGAAUUAGGAAGCUGCUUAUGCAAACCAGUCUAAACCUGCUCUAUAUAUAGGGAAACUACUUCUCAUGAUCUAGUUUUGUUGUUGAUAUGAUUAUUUUGU
This is a long non-coding RNA of Magnolia sinica, 237 nucleotides long. RefSeq lists it as uncharacterized. The record is from RefSeq and is a predicted model, not a curated record. The transcript is spliced from 3 exons. Lineage: Eukaryota; Viridiplantae; Streptophyta; Magnoliopsida; Magnoliales; Magnoliaceae.